UAUAUUUAUUUAAUAUG
RNAcentral lists this transfer RNA (17 nucleotides) under Melissodes humilior. RNAcentral's name for it is "partial tRNA-Leu". The record is from RNAcentral. Lineage: Eukaryota; Metazoa; Arthropoda; Insecta; Hymenoptera; Apidae.